This 2015-nucleotide ribosomal RNA is filed under the name marine sediment metagenome. RNAcentral's name for it is "bacterial LSU rRNA". It matches the Rfam family "Bacterial large subunit ribosomal RNA", at positions 1454 to 2925 of the family's 2925-position model. The record is from RNAcentral.
UUAGGCCAGCAAUGGAGUGACGCGGAAGGGUAAGCGGACCCGGGCGAUGGUUGUCCCGGGGUAAGCGUGUAGGACGAGAUCUAGGCAAAUCCGGAUCUCACGAAGUCCGAGGCGCGAAGCCGAGCCGAUACAGGCGAAGCCGCUGAACGCCCAAGCCGCCAAGAAAAGCUUCUAGCGAGCUCCUGUGGUGCCCGUACCCCAAACCAACACAGGUGGACAGGUAGAGAAUACUAAGGCGAGCGAGAUAACUCUGGUUAAGGAAUUCGGCAAAAUGGCUCCGUAACUUCGGGAGAAGGAGCGCCCCGGUAGGGUGUAGGACCUCGCGUCCGAAGCUCGAAGGGGUUGCAGAGACCAGGCCCAAGCGACUGUUUACUAAAAACACAGGAGCGUGCGAAGUCGCAAGACGCAGUAUACGCUCUGACGCCUGCCCGGUGCUGGAAGGUCAAGGGGAUAGGUUAGCUCUUCGGAGCGAAGCUUUGAACUCAAGCCCCAGUAAACGGCGGCGGUAACUAUAACCGUUGAACAGAAAACUGAACGGCGGUUGCAAAACCUGGCUAUAUGCUGGAACAUCCGAGUAUCCGACGGUACUCGUUCGGUCCAAAGGUAGAAAUACCGAAGGACAUGAACAGUGAAAAUCCGAUCGGUGCGGACAAUCAGCAGGAAACCGAAGCCACAGAACGACCAAUCGAUCCAUAUCGGAUCGUCAGAGGAUCGCCUCGAGCGAACCGUCUGACGUACCGGAUGCUGGCAACUCAAGCCGGCGGACGGGCAGACCGAAACGAAUCGAGGGUUGGCGUGGAAGACCAUGCAUCCAGGCAUACGUACCGAUCGCAAGAUCGAUGCCAACACGGAAGCACUGGUCCCUGGACAGAACCGAAAGGUGACGUCCUGUAGGGAUCCUCAGAGACUGUACGCUAGGCGCCGCAAUGAGUAGCGGUGAUGAUACAGUCCGAUCCUCAUGGCGACAUGGGGAGCCCGGCAGAAAUGACCGGGCCCGUUACUUCACGUAAUGAAUUCCACGUGGAGUGCGAAGUAACAAGAAUGCCUAAGGUAGCGAAAUUCCUUGUCGGGUAAGUUCCGACCUGCACGAAUGGCGCAACGACUUGGGCACUGUCUCAACCAGAGACUCGGCGAAAUUGCAGUGUGAGUAAAGAUGCUCACUUCCUGCGACAGGACGGAAAGACCCCGGGACCUUUACUGCAACUUGACAUUGGAGUUCGUUAUCAGAUGUGUAGGAUAGGUGGGAGACCGUGAAGCGGUGGCGCUAGCCAUCGUGGAGUCAACCUUGAAAUACCACCCUUCUCAUAAUGGUCUUCUAACCUCGAUCCAUUAUCUGGAUCAGGGACAGUGUCUGGUGGGCAGUUUCACUGGGGUGGUGGCCUCCUAAAAUGUAACGGAGGCGCCCAAAGGUUCUCUCAGUCUGGUCGGCAAUCAGACGUUGAGUGCAAGGGCAAAAGAGAGCUUAACUGCGAGACCUACAAGUCGAGCAGGUUCGAAAGAAGGGCCUAGUGAUCCCUCGGCGGCAUGUGGGUGCGCCGAGGCCAACGGCUAAAAGGUACCCCGGGGAUAACAGGCUUAUCCUGCCCAAGCACAUCGACGGGGAAGUUUGGCACCUCGAUGUCGGCUCGUCUCAUCCUGGGGCUGAAGCAGGUCCCAAGGGUCGGGCUGUUCGCCCGUUAAAGAGGCACGCGAGCUGGGUUUAGAACGUCGUGAGACAGUUCGGUCCCUAUCUGUUGUGGGCGGAGGUGAUUUGAGAGGGCCUGUCUCUAGUACGAGAGGACUGAGAUGGACGGACCGCUUGUGUGCCGGUUGUCGCGCCAGCGGCAGUGCCGGGUAGCUACGUCCGGUUUAGAUAACCGCUGAAAGCAUCUAAGCGGGAAGCUAGCCUCAAGAUUAGAUCACACGGAGGGUAACCUCCCUAAAGGCCACUUAAAGACUAUGAGUUUGAUAGGCUGGGUGUGGAAGGGCUGUAAGGCCUGAAGCUAACCAGUACUAAUCGGCCGUGAGACUUAACA